GUUCGAGCGUCAGUACAACACUCAAGCUCUGCUUGGUAUUGAGCCGCGUCCGCAAGGGCCAGCUUUAAAAUCAGUGGCGGCGCCAUCUGGCUCUAAGCGUAGUAAUACUCCUCGCUUCUGGGUCCUGGUGGAUGCUGGCCAGCAACCCCCAACUUCUUAAGUUUGACCUCGGAUCAGGUAGGGAUACCCGCUGAACUUAA
Molecule: unclassified non-coding RNA, 200 nt
Filed under: soil metagenome
Description: partial contains internal transcribed spacer 2 and large subunit ribosomal RNA
Source: RNAcentral